AUUGAACGCUGGCGGCAGGCCUAACACAUGCAAGUCGAGCGGAUGAAGGGAGCUUGCUCCUGGAUUCAGCGGCGGACGGGUGAGUAAUGCCUAGGAAUCUGCCUGGUAGUGGGGGAUAACGUCCGGAAACGGGCGCUAAUACCGCAUACGUCCUGAGGGAGAAAGUGGGGGAUCUUCGGACCUCACGCUAUCAGAUGAGCCUAGGUCGGAUUAGCUAGUUGGUGGGGUAAAGGCCUACCAAGGCGACUAUCCGUAACUGGUCUGAGAGGAUGAUCAGUCACACUGGAAGUGAGACACGGUCCAGACUCCUACGGGAGGCAGCAGUGGGGAAUAUUGGACAAUGGGCGAAAGCCUGAUCCAGCCAUGCCGCGUGUGUGAAGAAGGUCUUAGGAUUGUAAAGCACUUUAAGUUGGGAGGAAGGGAAGUAAGUUAAGACCUUGCUGUUUUGACGUUACCAACAGAAUAAGCACCGGCUAACUUCGUG
This 484-nucleotide ribosomal RNA is filed under the name uncultured bacterium. Its description in RNAcentral is "partial 16S ribosomal RNA". It matches the Rfam family "Bacterial small subunit ribosomal RNA", at positions 30 to 507 of the family's 1533-position model. The record is from RNAcentral.